Molecule: ribosomal RNA, 425 nt
Filed under: Azospirillum sp. Iso-31
Lineage: Bacteria; Pseudomonadati; Pseudomonadota; Alphaproteobacteria; Rhodospirillales; Azospirillaceae
Description: bacterial SSU rRNA
Rfam family: Bacterial small subunit ribosomal RNA
Source: RNAcentral
UGCAGUCGAACGAUGGUUUUGUCUUCGGAUGGGGCCUAGUGGCGCACGGGUGAGUAACACGUGGGAACCUGCCUUUCGGUUCGGAAUAACGUCUGGAAACGGACGCUAACACCGGAUACGCCCUUUGGGGGAAAGUUUACGCCGAGAGAGGGGCCCGCGUCGGAUUAGGUAGUUGGUGGGGUAAUGGCCUACCAAGCCUGCGAUCCGUAGCUGGUCUGAGAGGAUGAUCAGCCACACUGGGACUGAGACACGGCCCAGACUCCUACGGGAGGCAGCAGUGGGGAAUAUUGGACAAUGGGCGCAAGCCUGAUCCAGCAAUGCCGCGUGAGUGAUGAAGGCCUUAGGGUUGUAAAGCUCUUUCGCACGCGACGAUGAUGACGGUAGCGUGAGAAGAAGCCCCGGCUAACUUCGUGCCAGCAGCCGCG